AUUGAACGCUGGCGGCAGGCCUAACACAUGCAAGUCGAACGGUAACAGGAAACAGCUUGCUGUUUCGCUGACGAGUGGCGGACGGGUGAGUAAUGUCUGGGAAACUGCCUGAUGGAGGGGGAUAACUACUGGAAACGGUAGCUAAUACCGCAUAACGUCGCAAGACCAAAGAGGGGGACCCUCGGGCCUCUUGCCAUCGGAUGUGCCCAGAUGGGACUAGCUUGUUGGUGGGGUAACGGCUCACCAAGGCGACGAUCCCUAGCUGGUCUGAGAGGAUGACCAGCCACACUGGAACUGAGACACGGUCCAGACUCCUACGGGAGGCAGCAGUGGGGAAUAUUGCACAAUGGGCGCAAGCCUGAUGCAGCCAUGCCGCGUGUAUGAAGAAGGCCUUCGGGUUGUAAAGUACUUUCAGCGGGGAGGAAGGGAGUAAAGUUAAUACCUUUGCUCAUUGACGUUACCCGCAGAAGAAGCACCGGCUAACUCCGUGCCAGCAGCCGCGGUAAUACGGAGGGUGCAAGCGUUAAUCGGAAUUACUGGGCGUAAAGCGCACGCAGGCGGUUUGUUAAGUCAGAUGUGAAAUCCCCGGGCUCAACCUGGGAACUGCAUCUGAUACUGGCAAGCUUGAGUCUCGUAGAGGGGGGUAGAAUUCCAGGUGUAGCGGUGAGAUGCGUAGAGAUCUGGAGGAAUACCGGUGGCGAAGGCGGCCCCCUGGACGAAGACUGACGCUCAGGUGCGAAAGCGUGGGGAGCAAACAGGAUUAGAUACCCUGGUAGUCCACGCCGUAAACGAUGUCGACUUGGAGGUUGUGCCCUUGAGGCGUGGCUUCCGGAGCUAACGCGUUAAGUCGACCGCCUGGGGAGUACGGCCGCAAGGUUAAAACUCAAAUGAAUUGACGGGGGCCCGCACAAGCGGUGGAGCAUGUGGUUUAAUUCGAUGCAACGCGAAGAACCUUACCUGGUCUUGACAUCCACGGAAGUUUUCAGAGAUGAGAAUGUGCCUUCGGGAACCGUGAGACAGGUGCUGCAUGGCUGUCGUCAGCUCGUGUUGUGAAAUGUUGGGUUAAGUCCCGCAACGAGCGCAACCCUUAUCCUUUGUUGCCAGCGGUCCGGCCGGGAACUCAAAGGAGACUGCCAGUGAUAAACUGGAGGAAGGUGGGGAUGACGUCAAGUCAUCAUGGCCCUUACGACCAGGGCUACACACGUGCUACAAUGGCGCAUACAAAGAGAAGCGACCUCGCGAGAGCAAGCGGACCUCAUAAAGUGCGUCGUAGUCCGGAUUGGAGUCUGCAACUCGACUCCAUGAAGUCGGAAUCGCUAGUAAUCGUGGAUCAGAAUGCCACGGUGAAUACGUUCCCGGGCCU
This 1363-nucleotide ribosomal RNA is filed under the name uncultured bacterium. Its description in RNAcentral is "bacterial SSU rRNA". It matches the Rfam family "Bacterial small subunit ribosomal RNA", at positions 28 to 1381 of the family's 1533-position model. The record is from RNAcentral.